This 43543-nucleotide long non-coding RNA is filed under the name Ananas comosus (pineapple). RNAcentral describes it as "long non-coding RNA (ACOM_LNC020640)". Lineage: Eukaryota; Viridiplantae; Streptophyta; Magnoliopsida; Poales; Bromeliaceae. The record is from RNAcentral.
AGUUAAUGGACAUUAAAAAUAGGAGGAAUUCUACACUGUCACACUUGCACCACGUCAUCAAUAACAAGUCAAUCACAUUUGUUCUUUUCAAAUAAAAGUACAAUAAAAAUACUUUUUUACAAUCAUGAUGGGACAUAUAUUCUUAAAAUGAUUAAUUUGAUUGGUUUGUUACACCACGUCACUAGUAUACCCGUUGCAUUCUAAAAUUUUUCUAAAAAUAGAAUUAAUUUUAUACAUGUCUCUACAAAUAUAGUGAAUUACAAAUAUAUUCCUACAAAAUUUAAUUUUUAUAUAUGGUAUAAUUGUAUAUAUACAUUUUAAAACUUUAGAAAUAUCUUAUUUACCCAUACUUUUUUUUUUUUCUUUCCAAUAUAUCCCUCAUAUGUUCCUCCGUUAUUCCAAAAUACUUCUGCAGUUACCACCCUUUAAGUUAAUUUGAGUUAAACGUGAAUUAAAUAUCUACUAGAGUUUAAAAAAAAAACUAAAAUACCUCUUUUAUUCUUAACAUAACGGUAAAUAAGAAAUAUUGGUUAUGGUAGAAAGGUAUACUUGAAAAGACAAAAAAUCAAAAUACUUUUUGUUCCCCUAUCUAAAGGGUAAAUAAGAAAAAUCGGUUAUGGCGAAAUAUUUGAAAGGGUAAAAUAGUAAUUUCAUACUGAUAACAGUUAUUGUUAACAGUUUAUUAACGGAAUUUAACUCUAGAGGUAUAUUUCAAAUAGUUGGAAUGUAAAAAGGGUAUUUUUAAUAUUAGCCUUCUAAAAAAGGUAAUAAGAAAGUCAUAAACUUUUCAGAAAUAUAUAAGCAAUUGCCCCUUUAUAUGUUGUCUCUGCAAAAAUCUUAAUGUUUUUAAAUAUAUUCUUAUGGUUUGUUACUGUUAAACAACUGUUUAUUUUAUAAGUGAAAUGACCUUUUUGCCGUCACAAAUAUGUCCCUCCAAAAAUCUUAACUAUUAAUUGGAAAGGGCUAAAAAUAUCAAUUCACCUCAUUAACUAAUUACGGUUAAGUAUUUUACAUAUGGUUAACUAAUAUUUUCUAACGGAUCGUAAUAGCACAUAUUAAUGUGAUUGAUGUGAUUUCUUGUUACUAGGGCAAUUUUCAUCUAAAUUAAUAAAAUUAAUUUUGAGUCUAAAAGGCAGAAAAUGUUUUUCAACAAAUAUCCACUUUUGCACUUUAUCUCUAUAUAUAUUUUUUUAAAUCUCUAUUUUGUUAUUUUAAAAUUUAAAAUUGUAUCACUUGAUUAUGCGCAUAAACUAUUUUGCAACUAUUAUAUAUACAAAUUAUGUAGUACAACCAAUUUACUAAGAUACUCAUUAUAUUUUUAAAACUAUAUAAGAAUGAGGAAUGCUAUUUGUACACUCCUAAUUCCUAAAUUAGGAGAAAGUUUCCUAUACGGCCGUCACACAAUGUCGCAUGUCUCUCAACUAAUCAAAUUUUUUUUAUUUAAGAAAAAAAUUCAAUAUUUUUUAAAAAAAUUAUGAUGGGCUGAGCGAACCCUAGGGGUCAAAUGUGAUUGAUUAGCGACACUAUAUCAUCUAUGACUAUCACAUUUUUUUAAUUUUUUUCUAUAUUAUGCAUACAUCUUAUAUCUCAUUCAUCUAAGAAAAUCUUUCUCCACUAAUCUUACCAAUUUUUUUUUAAAACUAAAACCGAUUUGAUUUUCUAUAAACUUUAUGAUGGAGUGGGUAUAAGAUUUACAUUUAUAUAUAGGUAUACAGAUAGCAUAUUCCUAUAAGAAUAUUUUUGUGUUUCUUAAAUUAGCUUAUUAUAUUGAGGUUUCCUACUAUUUACUAAUUAAAUUUUAGUUUUUCAUCAUUUUUUAAGAAUGAAGUUGUGUAUAUUACUAGUUAUCUAGUUGUAUCAUACUGUAUAUGAAACAGUAACAAUAUUGAUUUACCACCACAAUAUAAAUUUAAGAGGACAAAAUAUAAGUUUCUUUUAAAAAAAUAAUGAGGUAAAAUGUAAAAACACUCAUUUAUAAAAGAAAUAUUUUAUAGUUUAACCCUAAUAAAAAUUCUAUGGGACGGGAGACAAUGUGUACCAUUGCGUGAUUAACCCCUCAACAAAUUUCUAACCUUUUUCUAUUUCUUUUUUGACUAAAUUACAAAAAAAUUUUAUAAAUACUUGUUUUUUUUACUUUUUCUUUCUAUUUUUUAAAAAUCUAUAUUGUAUUCCCUCAACAUUUUAAGUUGUUGCAUUAAGCCUCCAUCCGUCAGGAUUUCAUCAUUCUUCUGUCUAUUUCUUAUUAUUUAUACUAAAAAUAAUUUUUAAAAUAACAAAAAUAUAUUAAAAAAUAUUUUUAAUAGAAGAAAUAAGAAUAAUUAGGACAUUUUUCUAUCUCGUUAAUAUCGUACCCACUUGAAACUAUUUCUAAAAUUUGUAAAAAAGCAAAAUAUAAAUUUUUUAAAAUAAAAAAGAAGUAAAAAAAAAAUAUUUUUAUGACAAUGUUUGGAUCGGGGAUAAUGGGAGAGAUAACCCCUUAUCCGUCCCUUUAUAUCCAAAAGCAAAUUUUUUAUCCGAGAAUAAUAGUUCUCGGAUACUUGAAAUAAUCUGGUAUAACUAUUCCACCAACACCUCUAUUUUUUAUAUAUAACUAUCCACUAUUUUACGUUAUUUUUUUUUAUCCCAGAAACAAUCUAAUUUUUAUCCAAACAUUAUUUUUUCUAUUUGUAUUUAUCACUGUAAUAAUUAGUUCUUACUUAUAUCCAAACCAAACGUUAUCUAUAUAUAUAUAUAUAUAUAUAUAUUUUUUAUAUUUUAUUUUUGUAAAAAAAAAAAAGGCCUUAUUCUUGAAUCGCUUUCGUUUGCAUUCUACUGUCAUUGUCCGAGCAUUUAAAACAGCAAACCUACUCCACAUGACCAACAUCGAUCAGAAUAAUUAAUUAAUGAAUGAAAAAGGAGGCUUUACGACGCAGCGAUUAUCAUUUAUUGCACCACCCAUGUACCGAAUCCCAGAUUUCAAUACCCCUCGUCCAAUCCAUUUCCGUGUACGGAUCCAUCCAUAUGCGACUUUUUUUUUGUGAGGGGUAAAGCGCUUUGGCCUUUGAGAAGAAGCCGCAGCACCGUUUAUUGCGGGUGAAAAUUGUACGCAGGCCCCUCAACGAUACGGCGUUAUGAAACAAGCCCCCUUCACUUUCUUUGUUCUCGCAAAUUUGUGUUUUCUUUUUUGGCUAAAUUACAGAAAAUCUUCCAUCAAAAUUUGAUUUUUUAUUUUUCCUUCAUGUCAUUUAAAAAUCUACCCUUUGUCCUCUUGUAAAAUAAAAAAUAUUCACAGGGAUACGGUGUGAACUGUGAUGAUAAAAUGACCAUUUUGGCCCUCAUCAUUUUGCCGCUCACUAUAUUUACAGAAAAGAAGGUUGAAGGCAUUUUUGGCAUAAAAAUAUAAAUAAUAAUAUUUUAUAAAUGGAAUACUAAUAGAUUAUUAACGGCAGGGGACAAAAUGAACAUUUUUCAUUUUACAAGGGGGCAAAGUGAUGGGACAAAAUAUAGGUUUUUAAAUCACAGGGAGAAAAAUGAAAAAUUAGGUUUUGACAGGAGGUUCUAUGUAAUUUAGCCUUUUUUUUAAAAAAAACUUCAAAUAUCACCCCUAUAGUUUCACACUUUUUCACUUUAGUAUUCUGUGGUUCAAAAUGUAUCAAUUUACUGUCCUGUGAUUUCAUUAAUUUUUAUCUUUUUAUUAUAGACUUCAUUAAUUUUUUUCGUUAAAUCAGUGACAAAAUUAAAAUUAAAGAGUACUAAAGUGAGUAUUCGAUAAGCCUAGGUAGAGUAUCUGAAGCAUUUUAUAUAUAAUUUAACGAAAUAUUAACGGAGAAGCUGACGAAAAGAUAAAAAUGAAACUACAGGACACUAACUCGAUACACGUUAAAUCACAGGAUACUAAAAUGAAAAAGUACGAAAUCACAGGGGUGGUAUCUAAAGAUUAAUAUGUUAUUCGUUUCGUUUAUUUUUUAAAAAAAUAAACUUAGGUAAAAAUAUGAAGCAAUUAGAUUUCGAAUUUAAAAUCUCGAAUACAAAUCAUCAAAUUUUUCACCACCUUUUUUUUUUUUUUUUUUUUUUCUGGUCGACACUUGGUAACGUCCAACUUCUUUUAUAUGAAUUUUUCUAGCUAGUUAAAUUAUUGUUUAAAUAUAUUAGCUCUAAUAGCUAUUAAUUGUUAAUUAUUUAGUUUAUAUUUUAUAAACACAAACUAAAAUAAAUUAUCAGAUUUGAUAGAAUUAUUUCUGAUUNUCGUAAUUAAAAAAAAAGGUAAUUGCAUACAACUUCCUAUAAAUAUAUCGAAUAGCAAAUACAUUCUUACACGGUUAAACUUUUUAUUUUCAUCCUUACAAAAAAAAAAAUUUGAUAGGGGUUUUGGCGUACUGGUAAAUAAAUUUAAAAUAAUUAAUAAUUAUUAGUUCGUAGAUUGGUUCAAUUUAAUUAAAUUUUUUCGAAUAAUAAAUAUUAAAUGUUCGCCCUCGCUGUUUGAGAAAGUGGUGGACAUUUGACGAAAUAAAUACGUCAUUAGAUGGUGUGAAUAUUAAAGUAAAAAAUUAAGAAACUUAUCUGAAAUAUAAAUUAUUUUGAUUCCGUUGCUCAAUCUUUUAAAGUUUUUAAUUUUACUAUUCAAUUUUUCUAUUUAUUUGAAUUAAGUGAAUCGAUAAUAUUUUAACUUUAAAAAUUUAAACUAAUUAUUUAUUUUAAUAAAAUUAUAAUUGUACAAAGUUGAUGGCUUAAAUCAAAUAAAUUAAAACGAAAUGCUGAUGGUAUACCCUUCUGAGGGUGUAGGAUAUACACCACACCCAUCAAGUAACUAGUGGACAAUAUUUCACUCUUGAAUGGGUGGGAUGUAUCUUGUACGCUCCUACUGGGGUGUACAAGAAAUAUUUUUUAUAAAUUAAAGAGUAACUUCAAAUACAACUUCUGUGGUUUCGCACUUUCUUGCUUUAUUAUCUUAUGGUUUAAAAUGCAUCACUUUAAUAUCAUGGGGUUUUAUUUUUCUCUUUCAGUCAGCAUCUCCGUUAACUCUUUGUUAAAUUAUAUAAAAAAAACUUCAGAUACCCCACUUAUGAUUUAUUGAAUAUUCACUUCAGUGUCAUGUGGUUAUCGAAUUUUCAGUUUAGUACUCUGUGGUUUUAACUUUGUUACUGAUUUAACGAAAAAAGUUAACGGAGGAAAUAACGGAAAGAGAAAAAUGAAAUCAGGGGAUUACUAAAGUGAUACAUUUUAAAUCAUAGGGCACUAAAGUGAGUAAGCGCGAAACUAUAGAGGUGGUAUUUAAAAUUUUUUCUAAAUUAAAAAAUUAAAUAAUAAAAUUAAAAUUUUGAAAGAUUAGACAUGAAUAAGAUAAGUCCGGUACAUUUUUUUCCUAUAAAAAAAAGAUUAAUUUCAUAUAUGUUCCUGCAAAUAUAGUGAAUAACAAAUAUAUUUCUACAAAGUUCAUCUUUCAUAUAUUGUCUUUUCAAAAGUCCCGUUGUUUUCAAAUAUGUUCAUGCCGUUAGAAUUCGUUAGAAAAAAUUAGUUAACCAUAUGUUAAAUACUUAACCCUAAUUAUUUUUGAUAUUUUUACUCCUUUAUAUUAUACUAGUAUGGCUUUUGGAGGGAUGUAUUUGUGGUGACAAAAUUGAAAAUAUAAACGGUUCUCUAAUGGUAACAAACCAGAAGAAUAUAUUUGAAAAUAUUAGAAUUUUUGCAGGGACAACAUAUGAAAGUUGAACUUUGUAGGGAUAUAUUUGUCAUUUACUAUAUUUGCAGGGACAUGUAUGAAAUUAACCCAAAAAACAAGAACUAUUUACUUGUCCAGCCUCUUUACAAAAAAAAAUUCUCUAUCUAGUCUCCUUUUGAAAAUAUUCCCAAUCUAGCCUCAUUUUUAUAUUUUUUUUAAAAAAAGAUAAGUUAAUAAUUUUUAUAUAGAUUAAUAUGUUAAGUGGGUGGAGAUUAUUUUUUUUCUCUCUCCUUUUAAAUUAAGUGAAUGUAAUGUGAUUUUAUAUAUGAACACUUUUAAAUUAUAUUGACUUGUAUAAUCAAAUUAAGUACUAGUAGUACUAAUUAAAAAUUAUAAUUUAGAAAUAUUAUUAUUAAUAAAUAAAUUUUUUAUUAAGUAUUCAUAUAUAAAAUCACAUUAUAUUCACUUAAUUUUAAAGGAGAGAGAAGAAAGAUAAUCUCCACCCCCUUAACAUAUUAAUCUAUAUAAAAAUUAUUAAUUUAUCAUUUUUUUCUUAAUCUAUAAAAAUGAGGCUAGAUUGGGAAUAUUUUUCAAAAGGAGGCUAGAUAGGAAUUUUUUUUUUGCUAAAUUACAUAAAACCCCUUGUCAAAAUUCGAUUUUUCACUUUCUCCACUCGUCAUUUAAAAACCUACAAUUUGCCCUCUUGUAAAAUAAAAAAUGUUCACUUCGACCCCUACAGUUAGUAAUCAGUUAGGAUUCCGUUUAUAAAAUAUUAUUAUAUAUUUUUUUAUGCAAAAAAUGUCCGCAGCCUUCUCUUCUGUAAACAUGGUGAUGGGCAAAAUGAUGAGAGGGAAAAUGGUCAUUUUAUCAUUACAGUUCACACCGUACUCCUGUGAAUAUUUUUUAUUUUAUAAAGGGGCAAAAUAUAGGUUUUUAAAUGACAGGGAGGAAAAUUAAAAAAUUGAGUUUUGACAGGAGAAUUUUCUGUAAUUUAGCUUCUUUUUUAUUAUUAUUAUUAUUAUUAUUAUUAUUAUUAUUUUAAAGAGGCUUGACAAGUAAAUGAAUCAAAAAAACAAUAGGAGGGGCAUAAUCUAUACCACUUGUAAGUAAGGGGUAUCCAUACAAUUUUUACCUGAUAAUAUCUCAUCCUCUCUCCGACCGAAGAAAAUUCCUCCAAUCGCUUGACGUGACACUUCAAUAAGCUAGUCCGCCUGACAUGUACACCGAAAUCGGGUGGGGUCAACCAACCCGAACCCUACCACCCACACAGAAUUCUCUUCCUACGCCUGGUGCAUCCGUACAUUUCAUGCACCGCAUUCUCAAAACAGUCCCUCAAAAUAUUAUAAACUAUUCAUUCACAAAACAUUAUUAUUCGACAGUAAAGAAAUUGUAUUUGCUAUUCGCUUUUUAAUCCUUAAUAAAUUCAUAAUUAGGAGAUAGGAAAUACUAUUUCUCUACUAUUAAUAGCAUUUUAAUUUUUUUCCUAGUUAAAUAACCUAAAUCUUAAAAAAUAAUAAGUUUUAAAAGUCUAUUUUCUUAUAAAUUUGACAUUCUCCUUGAACUAAUUUUCGGAAUUGCUGACAUUUUUAAUUCCUUAACAGUUGAGUAACAGAUUUUAAUAAUUUAUAGUAUAUUCGCAUGUAAAUUUCUUAGUAUCCUUCAAACUCUAAGAUAUAGGAUCCUCUCAUUAUUCUUUCGAUAUUGUAAGUUAUAUUGGAUCAUAUUCGAAUUUAAUGAAAUUAAUAAUCAAUCAAAUAUUGCCACUGGUGCAUGAGACGCCAAUGCACGAGGUGCAGGCAACAAAUUUCACACCACCCCCACCUCCUCCCCCAUUGUGGGCCCCGCACACUCCUUCGCGCAAGCCCAACCACGUGACCAGUGACCACACUCAUUCUACAAACUUCCAAAUUCGACCCGUUUCGACACCUUUUUAACUCCGAUGAGAUGAGGUGUGCCACACACCCUCCACAUGCUUAAUAAAACGCCUCCAACCUCUCCAGCAAUAUAUAACCCCGUUAGUAUUACCAACAUAGUAACAACGAUGAACAAUAUUCCGGACUAACAUCCAACUGCUCUAAAUAGUGAUGAAAUAAUUAAUAAAAGCCUUUAUCAUUAACUCAUUUAAGAGAUGGAGAGAGUUCUAGACAGAGAGGGGGUGGGAGAGUACUAGAAAGCCAGCUCAGCAAUUUCUUGCACCAUGACAAAGGACAGAGUAGGGAAAACGAAAUGGCAAUGGGCUUGUCCGCGCCAAAAGCUACAGAGUAGGGGGUACGGCUUUUUGUAAGAGCGAAAAGGACCACUCAGUAGCGCAAAAAGAAACCCAUUGGCGACUAAGGAAAAGCACUUCUUAGGAGUAGCCCCAGCAUGCAUUAAUUAUAGCUGCUCCCGAACCCAUCUAUAUAUCUACUUCAUCAGUAGGCCAAACAUCAGCUUCUUCACAGCUCGCNGGGGGGGGGGGAACGAAGAAAAAAGGAAAAAGUGGGUAGUGAUCAUGAUAUGUGAAUUUUUAAGUGUCAAAGAUUUUAGAACUAAAUCUGCCUAACUACACGGUGAAAUGCAAAAACAAAAUGAUAGUGAGACGUAAAUGCAGUAAAUAUUAUAAGAGUUCGACUCAGAGGAUCGUGAACGGCGCACUCGACUUGAAUGGAUUUGCCAAAUGAUCCUCAAUAUUCUGGCUCUCAAAUUAGGGCGGCAGUAGUUAGUUCGGAUUUUGAUGAGAUCUUCUUAUUCUGCUGUUAGUGCGCCUUUCGCGUGAGCCAAGAACUCCCACAUUGUGUCGGCUAGCGGGGCGGAUUGGCGGUUUGGAUCGGGCGCCACGCCGAGGCGGUGAGGAGGCAAAGGUCCUUCCACCCGAGCUUGAGCGCGCCGUUCUCCUCGACGAGCGUGUAUCCGUCGGAGGGGAACAUGCCGAGGAGGAGCGUGGCCUGGGCGGCGGCAUUGCCCGCGAGGGAGACCGAGCGGAAUCCCGACUGGGCCAGCUUCUCGCGCCAGUUGCCGAACUUGACAUCCCCGGACCGCGCCGGGCCGCCCACGGCGAGCACGUUGCGGAUCUCGCGCGACAGCAGCUGCUGCUCGACGACGUGCCGCUCGGGGCUGUCCUCGCCGUAGCUGGCGCCGAGCGAGUCGAACAGCGCCGAGUAGUAGUGGAUCGCCUCGACGAACCGCGCCAGGAACGAGCCCCCCGGGCUCAGAUCCUGCUCCACCAUCGUCACCACCUUCGGCGCCAAACUACAUCAACCAACCAAACAAACAAACAAACAAACAACAAAUUUUCAAACUAGUUUUCUUUUUUUUUUUUUAACCCUAAUAAAAUUUCGAAUCUCAUGUAAUGCGUGUAACACGUGAAAAAAGAAUGGAUAAAAAUCUUAUCAAAAGUCGUACUACUCUUCUAAUACAGUACGCCAAUCCGUCUAUUAAAUCCCCCCCUCCUAAUCAUGGCAACUAAAGAACACUGAGAUUAUGGAAAAAAAGGGCAAUGGCUUCAAAAGUUAGUCAUAAUGACUACUUUUAGCUUUACUUGUGUAAUCUAUAAAGUAUUUUAAUAAAAGUUCUUUCUAGCUCCACAUUUUCAAGAGACAAAAAGUGCUUAACACCACACCAUAAUAAUAGUAAUAAUGCAAGAUGAAAAAAAAACAAGAAGAAGAAGAAUAUAUGUAUAUAUAUGGUUGGAGAUUGGGCAAACACAAGCGAUUGAUUGAGAUCACUUCCGUCUUCGUGCUAGAGCACAAGAUCGGCACAGAAACCAGUCAGAAAUAUGAUGCGCCCGUACUGUUUCCAAGUUCUAUAUAUAUAUAUAUAUAUAUAUAUAUAUAUCCUCUCCUCCCCCCUCUCACCUUCUUUCUUUUCGUUUUUUUUUUAAAAAAAAAAAAAAAGAAGAAGAAGAAAGGUUUGAUUAAUUAAUAUUAGAAAGUUCCUUUGUGUUAAUAAUUAGUACGUAGUAGUGAUUGAUUGAUUAAUUAACAAUCUGAACGAUGUAUAUAUCUUGUUUGAUUGAAAUGCAAAAAGAGGUAAUUAAUGGGAAUGGAGAUCAUGAAAGAAGAGGGUAAUGUAAUGUACCGCUGGAGGAGCCAGAGGGUGUUGGUGUCGGAGCCGGUGACGUCGUAGAGGGAGUGGUGGAGCCAGUGGACGGCGAGGGCCUCGCGGCGGGAGACGCCGAGGCGGUCGGGGUCGAGGUUGCCGACCUUGUCGGCGACGGGGUGGAACUCGAAGGGGAGGCCGAGGGUGUCGGCGAAGUCGGAGAGGCGCUUGCCGGUGGCCUCGAGGGCGUCGAGGGAGGCGCCGAGGCCGGUCAGGCGGACGCGCGGGGGCCCGCCGGGGCGGGAGGCGAGGAUGUGGAAGAGGCCCGGCCACUGCAGGCCCUGCAUGAUGUCCAGGUCGAUGAUGUGCACGCGCUCCUCGCGGUCGAACGCCUCCUGGAUCGCCUGGUUCGCCGUGAAGUGCGAGAACUUCACGAACGGGCUGAUGCCGUUGAACACCUGGAAGGCCGCCGCCAGCCGGUGGUGGACCCGGAGGGCCGCCGGGGACGACGCCGGCAGCGGGGCGUAAAGCCCCAGGCAGGAGCUGACCAGCCGGGCCGACAUGGCCUCCGAGAAGUAGGCCGCCACGCGCUGGGCCGAGCUGCCGAACGGGGUCGCCAGCUCCGAGAUCUCCAGCAGCAGCCGGUUCGCCUCGUCCAGGUUGUCCGCCGCCACCGACUCCGCGCACUGCAGCAGCAGCGUCAGCAGCUGCAGCCCCUCCUCGUCGCGCUUCUGCUGCCGCAGCUCCUCCUUGCGCGCCCUCGUCGGAGGUGGAGCUGCGCUGGGGCUGGGGGUCGGAGGAGCAGGAGGGUUGGGGGUUGGGGAGGCGAUGAUGAUGAUGAUGAUGAUGAUGAGGGGGAGGAGGAGGAGGAUACGCGGGCUCCUCCGGCCAGUUGGGCGGCUGCUGCUGCUGCUGUUGUUGGCUUUGUGGCGACUUGGGAAGAGGCGGGGCCGGUGGGGGCUGGGGCGGGGGAGGGGCGAGCUCGCGGCGGCGAGCUUGUCAGGCUGGGCGCGUCGGAGGGGAGGGAGGGGAGCGGCGGCGGCGGCGGCGGAGGAGGAGGGAGAGGGUCGGAGGAGGCGAGGGAGCGGAGGCGGUGCUCGAGGACGGCGGCGAGGGCGGGGUUGCAGGGGUGGAUGACCUCGCGGACGUUGUGGAUCAGCUGCGGGAUCGACACCGCGGGCGCCGCGCUGCUCAGGAGGUCGCGGAUGAUCCCGUCCACCCACGCCGACGCCGCGCCCUCGUCCGCGCCGCCGCGGCCCGCCACCCCCUCGUUCGCCGCCGCCGCACCCCCCCCGCCGCCCCGCUCGAGCUCCGCCGGGAACAGCGGCAGCCCCGAGAACCCGCACACCGCCGGCGCCGGCGGGGGGAGAGACGGAAGGAACUGCGUCGGGUUGCCCCCGUGCUGCACCAAAAUCGGGGCGUCCAGAGCGCCGCCGCCGCUCGAAGCCGAAUACAGAAGCGAGGAGGGGUGCCCCGCCGCCGCGCUCUCCGCGAACGGCCCCUGCGCCGCGGCCGUGGACGAGGAAGCCCCGCCACCCGCCGCCGCAGCACCGCCUCCGCCGCCGCGACGAGGGAGUCUGGGGUUGUGGUAAGAAGAUGAGGAGGACUCGUGCUGUAGAUCGAGCUCCGAGGCGGGGCGCUUCCUCACCAUGAUCACCUCGCCCACCUGCUGCUGCUGCUGCUGCUGCUGCUGCUGUUGUUGCUGCUGCUGGAGAUAGAGGAGAUAAAGAAGCUCCUUUUCCUCUUCAGAGUAGUGCGAGAAGUGAGAAUCAUGAGAAGACGACGUCGUGUUUGUGGUUGUGGUUGUGGUUGUGGUCGGGGGCAGGAGCAGUAAAGAGGAGGAACCCAUCAGAAAAAACAAAGGGAAAGGGCUCGGCGCAUGCUAGUGCAGUAGAAGAAACGGUGAGGUGGUAGUAGCAGUAGUAGUAGUAUGAGGAUGAGGAAGAGGAGGAGGAGGAGGAGGAGAGUAAAGAGGAAGAGGCCGAGGAGCAGAAGCCGCGCAGAGAACAACAACAACAACAAUAACACGGGAAUAAGCACGAGACCAAUAGUAAUACUAAUAAUAAUAAUAUUAUUAUUAUUAUUGUUACUAUUGUUAACAGAGGGGGAGGGGGAUAUAUAUUGCUUAUAAAGCGGGUGCGCAUUGGGGUACGCAUAAGGGGUCGGGGACGGCUCCAAGCGAAAAACGGCGGGGCGAUUCGGACAUGGGGGUGAGGGGUUGUUGUUCGGGCCUGGAUUCGACGCUAAUAAGAAAGAACAACCUGUUGCAGCGUUUCCUAUUUCUCUCUCUCUCUCUCUCUACCACUGUAAUUUUUUCCUUUUUUCUUUUUUUUUUUUGUUUCCCCCCUAUCUCUCUCUCUCUCUUACCUAGAGGAGAGAGGAGAGAGGAGAGAGGAGAGAGAGAGAGAGAGCCGUUGCCGUUGUCGCGCUCGGCGCUCGCGCGUCGCUCGGGGCGCGUCGGGAGACGACGCGAAACCCCAGGCGAGGGAGGUGAGAGGGGUGGGAAAAAUCGGGUUGGCUUUUUUUCUUUUUUUUUUUUUUUUCUUCUCCGCCGUGCGAUUUGUGCGGUGGGAUUAAUGAAAAGGUCGGAUUAAACAACGAGCAUCCAAAAUGCAUGCAGACCCUUCUACUUCAUCUUAUUUCGAUUGACACCACCAAAGAUCUUCUUGGAAUGUGCGAACAUGCCGCUUCCUAGUUAAAAAAAGGCAAAAAGAAAUUCAAGAAUUUUUAAAUUUUAUUUUAAAUUUUUAGUAUUGAAAGAUUUAAUAAAAUUAGUGAAUAAAUAUGUGUCCUUGGAAAACUGCAGAGUGUACCUCAUUUUAUCAUCCUAUAGUUAGAAAAAAAAAAAACAAUGCUUUAUUCUCUUUUGAUUUUUAUUUUUGUCUAAUCAUAAGAAUUCGAUCUUUAAUAGAAUAACAAACUGAUAUAAUUAUAAACCACAAAAUAGUAAGAUACAAUAUUUGUAUAAAUCACUAAAAAAAGUAAAAUAUAGCAUUUCACUAGCCUCUAAUUUUCUGAUAAAUUAAUGAUAAAAUUAUAGAUAAUAAAAUAAUAUUUUUUAAACUGUAGGAUGAUAAGUUUGGGGGCCUAUUUUAAAACAUUAUUAUAUAGUAUUUUUUAUCUUAAACUAAAUUAGUAAAGAGGGUAGGCUUUUUCAUUUGACUUGGAAAGGUUGUUUAGGUCUUAGUUGGGAUGUGGGGGUUAUGGGAAAGGGUGUGAUAAACAAAUUUAGUUCUUGAUUGUGGGGUACUGUGUAAAAGUGUUACAAAGGGAGAAAAAAGGUGUGUUGGACUUUGGUCCUAUUUCUCUCUCUCUCUCUCUCUCUCUCUCUCCUGAAACAAUUAGAAAAGGUUUUUUUUUUUGUAAAGAGAAAUCUUAGAUAGUGGAGCUUUUUGAGAUGUUGAGUAUAACUGCUGUUUCCAAUUAUCAUUGCAUUUGGUUGGGUGAGCUUUGACUUUGAAACUUUUUUUCUGGGGUUUGAGUUUGAAAUUAUUACAUAUAUUUUUUGUUUUAAACUUUGUUUGAAGUUUAUGUAAAAAUUUACAAGUUAUUGUUUAAAAUAAAUCUUCUUCAUGAAAUAGAGAAAUUAAAAUUUGUGAGUAGCUCUUAUUUUUGUAUGGAUAUUUGAAGCUUUAUCUGAAAUCAUAACUAAAUAUAAUGCUUUUAACCGAAUAUAAAAGAGAAUGGUGUUGGUGAUGGGGUUGUAGAAAGUGAUAUAUGCGCCGAUACCAAUCGAUUGUAUUACGUAGGAUUUAGAUUGCAUGUUUAGAGAUAAAAUAAGUUAGGAGAACUAAACAAAUUAUAUUUUGUUAAUUAAACCAUUUAAUACAUUCGACUACUCUAUACAUCCUUGGCUUUUAGAGGAGGCCUUAUGUAUGUAAGCUUUUUCUAACUCUCUCCUUUACGAAUUCCUUGUGUUCAUAUUAAGAUUGAUUUUAGAUCAUUUUUUAUCGAUCGAUCUUUUGGAUAAUAUAAUUUUAGAGCAAUGUUUCAAUACACUAUGGGCGUGUUUGGUUCGCUUAUUUUUCACCAUAGAAUCGAAAUCGGAAUGGGUGAAUUCGUUUGUAGGUGUUUGGUACGUGGGAGUCUCAUUCCGAUUCCGAUUCCCGAGUGGAAUGGGAAUCCCCCAAUCACCUCAUUUUUCAAUCCGACCUAGGAGACCGGAUUAGAAGUUGAAUCAGGACGGAAUGGAUAUUUAUUCGGAUUAAAUUUAUUUUUUCUACUUUUUAAUUACAAUAUGAGUUUAAACUUAGAAAUUAAAUUUUAAAUUUUAAAUUUUAAUUUGAACUUGAAUUAAAAAUUAAAAUUUAAUCAAGUAUUUUGAAUCUAACUUAUGAAUUUGAAUUUAAAUUAAAUUUUAAUUUAUAUAAAAUUUUAUUCAAAUUUUAUUUAAAACUUAAAUUAAAUUUAUGGAUUCAAAUUAAAAUUUAAAUUGUAAUUUUAAGUUUGAAUUUGAAUAAAUCAAAAUUUAGUUUUAUAUUUUGAAUUAUUUACUCAACUUCAAAGUUUAAUUUUUUUAAAGAAAUAGAUUUAAAAUUUUGAUAUUAUUUCAAAAUUUUGAUGUAAAUAUUUAAUAUUUAAAUUUUAAUUUGAAUUUAAAUUAAUAUAUUAUAAAGAUAAAGUUAGCAUAUUAAUCCGAUUACGUUUUUUAUAUUUACCUAAACCAAACACCAACAAUGGGAAUGAUUUAUUCCGAUUCCGAUUCAGGUGAUGAACCAAACAGAGUUAAGUAAUAAGUCAUUCCGAUUCCGAUUCCGAUUCCAGCUUAUUUCGAUUUCGAUUCCGAUUUCGAUUCCGACUUCGAACCAAACAUGCCCUUAAGUAUUAAAAUCAAACUCUUAAUUAGUAAAGGGUAUAGUUGGAUUUUACAUAAGGUAACCUAUUGAAUAGGUUACCGAUUUGAAUUAGUUAAUAUGACAAUAUUGGAAAAAAAUUAGUAGUAUAUACAAAUUUGUUAGUAUCCUAUAAUAUUAAGUAUCUUUUUUAGUUUUGUUACUUACCAAAUUAGAUAAUACUCAAUUUGUUAUUCAACUCAAAAAAAUAUUGAAUUUAAAUUUAAGUUUUGAAGUUGGUAUUGUAAUGUAAAAUUUUAAUUUCAAAAUUUAUAUUAAAUUUUUAAAUUUUGAAUCUACAUUGCACUUUUAAUCUGUAAGCCAAAUUUUAAUUUUUGAUUUAAAUUAAAAUUUUGAAUUUGAACUGAAAGUUUUAUUUUAAAUUUGUGUUUUAUAUUUAAAAGUUGAAUUUGAUUUAUAAUUAAGUUUUUUAUGUUGUUUUGUAUUUAAAUUUACAGUUUAGUUGUAAUUUGAAUUCCAACUAUUGUUGUAGGUAUUUGAAAAGGUUAUAGUAUUCUUAGUUGGAUAAAACCUAUCUUGUAGGCCAAAAUAUUUUUCUAAGACCAAAAUACCCUUUAAAUAGGUAUCUGGUGAAUGGUACUUAUGCCAAAAUAGUAGGUCGCCUUGAUUUACAUGGUGUAUUGAGGUAUUAUUCUUUUUUUUUUUUUUUUGAGAGAAAGGUAGCAUGUUACCCGCUUCGUUUUUUCAUUUAUAAAUAAACUUGGCUGAAAAUGUGAAUCAAUUAGGAUUCGAACUUGGGUCUCGGGUACCAACCACCAAGCCCUUUUGCCACUUGCGCUAGGGACAGUCGGUUAUUACUCAUAAUAUUAAAGCAGAUGCAAAGUUUCUCCUAUUUGAAAAUGGCAUAUAUACGUUGAGUAGGGUUAUUGUGCUAUUAGAAGCACAUAAGUCCUUGUGCUCUUAAUUUUCUAAUUAUUCAUUAAUUUUGAUGGAUGGUUAAAGAUGAGAGAGAAAAGAAAUUGAAAAAAAAAAUUAAAAAGAAGAGAAAUUGAGACACUCAAAUUCUUCUUAAUUUUUUUUCUCUCUUUCACCUUAACCAUUCGUCAAUUUAGAACGUUAGCAGCAUAAGGUCUCUAAUGAUUAUCGUUAUUGCUCUACGCACAAAAAAUUCAUAUUCUUUUUUUUAAAAUGAACGAUGCGAUCGCGGUGUGCAAAGAUUUCUUGUGCGAGGGAUUACUAUGCAAUUGAAUUCCUCCUAAAGUCCCCUCCAUUCGAAGAGCUCUUGUGUUGUUUUAUGACGUCUUCGUGUCUAUUAUAUUCUGUUGUUAUACAGAAUAGGAGUGUUAACACUAAUACUAAUUCUAAAUUAUUUUCUAUUAGAUCGAUCUUUUGAGUGAUAAUUCGCAAGAGCCAUCAAAUUUGAUUGCGCAGCACCACUUUAGAGGGAAAUCCAAGCGUCAACUCAACGGAUUGGAUAAGAAAUAAGCAGGAUAAGAUUCUGAUCUUUUAUUUCUCAUGCAUGUAACCAUUAACAAGAGGCAUACAUGAAACUUCAUGAGGUUUCGACUACUGCCCUGCUAAAUAGCAUUCUUGAUAAUAAUCAACUACUCUAAAAUACCAGUAAUUAGUUUUUUUUUAAUUUUAAAUUCAAAUUCACAUUUGGAAUUCUAAAUUCUAAUUUAAUUUCAAACUUCGAUUUGAAAUUUCAAAUUCAAAAUGUGAUUUUGAAUUCAAAGUUUAAAUUCAAAUUUAGAAUUGAAAUCAAAUCUUUAAAUUCAAAUUUAAAUUUUGAAUUCAAAUUUAAAAUUUAAAAUCAAAAUUUUGAAUAUGAUUUUAAAUUUAAAUUCAGGUUUUAAAUUUAAACUUCGGUUUCAAAACUUUCAUUUUAAAUGUAAAUUGAAAUAUCAGAAUCAAAAUCAAAAUUUUAAGUUUGAAUUCAAAAUUUAGAUUCAACUAAAAAUUUAAAUUUAAAAUUUGAAUUUCAAUUCAAAGUUUUAAUUAGACUUAAAAUUCAAAUUCAAAAUUCUAAUUUCUGGUUAGUUUAAAUUUUUAAUUUUAAUAUUAUUUCUGAAUUUAAAUUUAAAAUUUAGAAUUUUUAUUUUUAGGGACUAAAAUGAAAAAUGUGCAAAGUUUAGGGACCUAAAUUGAAAUGCAAAAGGUUGCCAAAUAGACGCUGACGUGGCAAUUCCGUAAAUUUUAACAGUUUUAUUAACGGUUGGGACGCAAUUGUAGUAAAAUCAAGAGGUUAGGGACUCCAUUGCAAAAAAAAAAAAAAAAAAGAUUGGAAACUUAAGUGAAAAUUGGUGCGAAGGUUGGGGGACUACCGGUGUAGUUAACCCUUAUUAUUCCAAUAGAAAAAAAUACUUCUAGAAGUAUUUUUGAGCCUAACUCGGCAUUUCCAUUUACAUAUACAUGGUCUCAUUAAUAAGAGUCCAAAUAAAUCACAUGAAAACGAUACUUUUGGGAGCGACAAGCUGGAGCAGCACUAAAGUCGGCAACGACGUUGAUACUCGUUGUGUGGAAGUCGUCACCUAAUUCGCUACUCCACGUAGAAAAAGCCAUGGAUGGCAGCUAUUUUUCUCCAAACAACUACCAGACGGUCACAGCAUCUGCGGCCCACGGAAUGUCUUCCGCUUUGACGGAUCAUAAAUAUACCCACCAAACAUUAAUUAAUUAGAAUUAGGUUGGAAUACUAUUAAUAGUAAAACGCUCUUUUUGCUAUCAAGUUUUUAACCCUUAGAUGAAACAUUGUAGGGUCAGUAUGAUAUUAGUCGGUUAGAGUUGAGUGGUCCCCCUAGGGUUGAGUGGUUCCCACUGGGUUAUAGUAUUUAAUCCGAUGGUUAGAAAUAAUGAAAAGAGUUGAUCCAAAGACUAAAAAACUGGUAGCAACAAUGAAAUUUUGCUACUAAUAGUUGCCCAGUCCAACUCUAAUUAAUAGAUGGCGUGGCAUGGGAAAGCUCCUUGUCUUUUACCCAUGCACGUGAGUGGCAACGUGGUCCCCCACUUCCCCCCCACAAAAAAAAAAAAAAAAAAAAAAAAAAAAAAAAAAAAAAAAAAAAAAAAAAAAAAAAAAAAAAAAAAAAAAAAAGAAGAAAAUGAUGAUGAUUCAUAAGAUUUGCUUUUUUUUCUUUUUUUUUUUGGGCUUUUUUUUUUUUUUGAGAAAAGAAAUAGUGAAUUGUAAGCGAGUUAGUUGAUCAUUAGAACAAAAUCUAAUAUAUUCUUUGAAAUUAUAAGAAUAUCUAAUAUAUAUUUUAAGUUGAUCAAAAUAUUUUUAUUAAUUUAUUAAAAAUUUCAUAAAAUAUUUCUAAUUUUUAGGAUUUACUAAUAGAAAUUAGGAUUUAUAAGGAUAUGUUUAGUAAUUUUAGGAUAAAUUUGAAAAUUUUGAAUAGUCAGGAAUAAGUAAGCAAAAAGUCCUAACCCUUUUAUUUAUUUAUUUAUUUAUAGAUAGGCGCAUAAAGUCUUAAAAUUUUAUAUUUUUUAAUUAAUUAUUUAAAAUUUGGAACCGAUCAUUAAUUAGGGCCUGUUGGGUAUUGUCCCCUUUUUUUGAAUGUUUUAAAACGCUAAUUCUAUAUAAUUUAAUAUGUCGAAGGAAAGAUGUUCAUUAUUAUUAUUAUUAUUAAUAUUAUAAUAGUUUAUUAGCUUAUAAUAUAUCCGACUAAUUGAUAAACAAUAAAUUAUUUUAAGGCUUAGUUUGGUAUUGAGAUUUAUCUAACGCUAUUAGAUAAAAUGGAGUUGAGGAAAAAGCAUAUAGGGAUAUGCUUCUGCGUUCUUCGAUGGGACCGCAGAAAAUAUAUUAUAACCGACUCAUCGCGAUAUGCGGAAUGCAAUAUUACGAAACAAACAGAGUAUUUUUCCAUCGUCGUUUCUCAACGUAACGCAAUCUCCCUACAAUCCCAAACGAAAUCUAAAUAGUUUUGGAACCAAUUUUUUUUAAAAGUUUUUAUUUUUUAUUGCCAGGUAAAUUAUUGUUCAUUCUUUCAUGUUUUGAUAUAUAAAAUUUUAUUUAAAAAAAUAAAAAUAAACACGAUACCAAUAAGGUCUUAGUUUUAUAUUUUAAUAAUAUAAAGUAACUAAUAUCAAUCAAAUGAUCCAGAAAUAAUAAAUAACACAUGUAAUAUAGCAGGAUUCCUUUGAUGAUAAAAUUCCAUCUUACAGUACUAUAAAAAUUUAUUUUUAGCAUUUAAUUUUCAUAAAUUAAAUAUAAUAGUUAUGGCCAAUAAAGUAGUUUUAGAUAUAAAAAAAAGACUCAUCUAUUUAGCAGCCAUACAUUCUUUAUUAUUUUUUUUGACCAAGUAAGUACUAUUUAUUACUUUAAAAAUAAAUCAAUGUGGUUAAUUUGAAAAUUUGGAUUGUAAAUAUAACAUUUUGAAAGUAGCUAGACUUUUGGCGCAUUUAAUCCAUGCAUUAAGCUAACCAUGUUAUAUGUAGGCCUAAUACAUCAUCUAAUACUGUAGUUUUUUUUUUUUUUGGGCUUAAUUAUAUCCCACUAUUUGUACUUUAGAGUUAUUUUUUAUUUCCUACAUUAUACAAUUUUUUUAAAAAAAUUAUACCAUUCUAUUACUAUAUUUUAUUAAUCUCAAAAAUGUAUUGCCUAUUUGAUUCAUCCAUAUGUCUUGGAAUUUUCAUUAGCUCUUCAUCCAACCAGUAGUUAUAUAUAUAUAUAUAUAUAUAGAGAGAGAGAGAGUUUUGCUAGAAUACUAUCGGUAGUAAACGGCUCGGUUUACUACCGAUUUGUUUUCGAUGAUAGAGCUUUCAAAUUGAUGAUCGACACCGUUAAAUAUGAUCUAAACUAUUUAAACUAUCGGGAAAUCAAAUUUCACACAUUUUCGAUAUUGUUCUCUUGUCCAUCAAGUGAACAGAAAAAUGAAUGGCUGGAAAUGAAUAUCUUUUAAAAAGUUAUGAUACAAUUUUUAUAUUUGAGAUCUAGAGUCUAGAUCUUAUUUUAAAUAGUUUAAAGAAUUUUUUAACAAAAAUUUAGUUGAUUUGAACUCUUCUAUACAGUUAAACAAGCAAACGCACCAUAUCGGCCAUUAAAAUUGUAUAUUUUGUGACCCAUUGAUCGUUCAAUUAGUGAUGCCAAAAAUUCAUGUGACCCUUUGAUCGUUCAAUUAGUGAUGCCAAAAAUUCAUGAAGUUUGAUUUCUAGAUAAUUUAAAUGGUCUAGAUCAUGUUCAACAGUGCCGAUCGUCGAUUUGGAAGCUCUAUCAUCAAAAAUAAAUCGGUAGUAAACCGAGCAGUUUACUACCGAUAGUAGCCCGGUCAAACUAUAUAUAUAUAUAUAUAUAUAUAUAUAUAUAUAGAGAGAGAGAGAGAGAGAGAGAGAGAGAGAGAGAGAGAGAGAGUUGGACUGGGCUACUAUUAGUAGCAAAAUCCCAUUGUUGCUACCAGUUUUUUAACCUUUGGAUCAACUCUUUUCAUUAUUUCUAGCCAUUGGAUUAAAUACUAUAACCCAGUGGAGACCACUCAACCCUAGGGGGACCACUCAACUCUAACCGACUAAUAUCAUCCUGACCCUACAAUUUUUCAUCCAAGGGUAAAAACUUGAUAGCAAAAAGAUCAUUUUUACUAUUAAUAGUAUUCCAGUCUAAUUCUAUAUAUGAGUUGGACUGGGUUACUAUUAGUAGCAAAAUCCCAUUGUUGCUAUCAGUUUUUUAGCCUUUGGAUCAACUCUUUUCAUUAUUUCUAACCAUUGGAUUAAAUACUAUAACCCAGUGGGGACCACUCAACCCUAGGGGGACUACUCAACUCUAACCGACUAAUAUGAUCCCGACCCUACAAUUUUUCAUCCAAGGGUACUACUCAACCCUGGAGUACCGCAAUUAUCCUGACCCAGUGGGGACUACUCAACCCUAGGGGACUACUCAACCCUAGGGGUACUACUCAACCCUGGAGUACCGCAAUCAUCCCAACCGUAUAAUUUUUUAUCCAAGGACCAAAAAAUCGGAAGAAUCAGAUCUUUUAUGCUUCUGAUAGCAUAGUAGCUCUUAUAUAUAUAUAUAUAGAACUAGGCUGGAAUACUAUUAAUAGCACCAAUGCUAUUAAGUCAUUGGUGGUAUUAAUAGUAUUCCAGUCUACUUCUAUAUAUAUAUAUCUAUAUUAAUCGGAAGUUAGGGCAUGACUCCUAAAUUUAAGCUCAUGUGGGAACUCAAACCUCCAUUCUUAUGUAUUCAUGACAUCUGAAUACCUAACCACUAAACCACCAAUGAUUUAGUUAUAAUUUUUAGUUGCACACGUCCUUAUUUAUUAAAGAACUAUAUUAUAAAUCAUCUGAUUGCACUGUACUAAUUAUAUCCAAUUUCAGUUCUGUCUUUUUAAGUUCAUUUCUAAGAAGUUUUCUAUAAGAUUAAUUUUUGGAGAUACAGUUUGAAAGCGAAUUCCAAAGCCUUUCAAAUGUCUAUUGGCUAAGUAGCACUACUGGAUAGGGGUGGAAACGAGCCGAGCUCGAGCGAGCUUACCUCGGCUCAAAUUCGGCUUGAAAUUAAUUUUGAGCCUAAAUUUAAGCUCAAGCUUGGAUUGAAAUUAAUUCGAGCCGAGCUCGAGCGAGCCUAAUUUCAAGUCGAGCGAGCUCGAGCCCUAAACGAGCCGCUUGAAAUUCUCAACAUUAUACGAUCAAUAGUUUAAUUUGUAUAGAACAUUAUCUAUAAUUUGAUACAAAAAUAUGUCUAAUAGUUCAAAGUACAAAAUAAUUAUAUGAAAUAUAGUAUUAUAAUAUGAAAAAAAAUAAUUUAUGAGUUGAAUAUCUAAUCUUUUCAGCCUCACAUGUCUUUUCUUCCGCCUUCAAUCUCCAUAUUAUUCAUUUUCAUUUAUGCAGUCAAAAAUAAAUAAAUUAUAUAGAUAAAUAUUGGAUUAAACUAUCCAAUCAUAUAUAACUAAAAUUAAAAUUUUAUAUGAAUAAUAAUUUUUUACUUUAAAAAUAUUCUGUAUAUUUUCUCAAGCAUACAAUUAAUAGCAAGGUAGGCAACGGCGGGCAUAUGAUGUUACUUGGUAACUUAGAGGACUUCCGGCUUGGCCACUUAGGGUAAGAGACAGAAAAAGAGAAAGAGAGAAACAUAUUGAAAAUUUAGAGCUCUGUGAAAGAAAGAAAGAAAGAAAAGAAAAAUAUAUAAAUUUAGUAAAAUUUUGCUCUUUUAUUUGUCUAUUGAGUUUGUUUUUAUGGGCCAACAAUAUUGGCCCAAUUUUAACUAAACUCAGAUUAUUCACUCAGCCUAUUUAUAAUUAAAAUAUAUUAUAUUUAUAUAUUUUUUAAUAUAUAUAUAUAUAUAUUCGAGUUUUUCGAGCUUAAUUCGAACGAGCCGAGUAAUACUCAAUCUCGGCUCGAAAUAAAUUUCGAGCUUUUUUUUUUGUUCAAGCUCGGCUCAUUUAAUUUCGAGUCGAGCUCGAGCGAGCCAAAUACCGAGUCGAACGCGAGCCGGCUCGCUCAUUUGCCAGCCCUACUACUGGAGGAAGUAUUAAGAGCUAGCCGUUUCAUUAAAUCUCACCUCGACAUCGACCUCUCUAUAGCAAAAGCAAGGGUUUCACACUAAAGUUUUUAUUGGAACGUUACAUAAAAUUACUUAAAAUAUCCAUCACUACAAUUUCAUAGUCAUUUCACAGUGAAAAUCAGCAUUUUUGGUGCAUUUGAAUAGCUAACGCAUACUGUCCCUUCGAAGUUCGAACAGCCAUUUGUCUAAUCACUUUACGUUUCAACCAUUUAUCUUUCUGAAGUAGCCAAAAUAUUACAAACUCAUUUUCAGCUAUACCGAACGGACACUAACAAUAAAAUUCUCUUUUGGAAAGGCAAUAUUAUUAAUCGAGUUAUUUGUAUUAUUGUACGUGAAUCAGAUCUACUAAAUUUGAUCAAAUUUAAAUGUACUUAAUAGGGAAUAGCGAGUACGUUUCAUUCAUCUUAUCACAGGUCAUGUAGCUUGAUGAGUGGUGACUGAUCAAUGAGCCUAGCUUGUCACCUUUCAUAGCCCAAAGAAUCAAUCUUGUCACACACUCCCAACUUCUCUCGUGUUGUGCGUGGUUCCAUUAAUAUCAAGGCAAUAAUAAGUACACAAUAAUUGGGAGACAAAUGCAAUGAACAAUGCAAUGCAACAUGGGGAAUAGUAGAAUAUAUGUACUCAACAUAAGCAUGUUGUAUAGCUUAUUUGACCUAUUAUGCUUUUCCACAUUACCAUGCUCAUCUUAUUCAUGGCUUUGCUCUUGUCCCCUUAUCCUUUUCCACCUCUUCUACUCGUCUCAUACAUUAUCUAUUCGUCCCCUUCUCCCUUGUAUACAUCCUUGGCAUGAAUAUUUUGUCUACCUGCCCCCCCCAUGUGACACUGUCAUCAAACAUUAUGCACCUUGAUAUCUUAAACCUAGGGUUACUCAUUUGUACUACUUGGGCCUAUUAAACUAAGGUUCAUAUAUAUUGUACCCUUUUGGGUAUGAAAGCUUAACUAAUCCACCUUCACUAGCCAACAAAAGUAUUUGUGUGCGGCUACACUAUUGGUAUUUUGGCCGUAGGACAUCGGACUAGAUCUGAAAGAAUUGAGCUCGAGUUCGAGAGAAUGUUCGCGGUUUAGAUGUUAAGAGUGUACGAAGCCAAGCGCUCGAUUAUUACCAGAAAAGAAGGAAAAAAAUUAGUGUUAGAUAUCGUAAUUAGCUCACAUGAACUUCAUAUCAUCUAUUCAAGCUUCAAUAAAACCUUAGGCCGGAGUGGGCUGACAAUGGAGAUUGAAUUCGAAACCUCUUAGCUUAUUAUACUUCCAUUUUUUUAAAACUAGGGGUAGCAAUUCAGUUUGAUGGAUCACAAAUUAAUAGAUUGAAUUAACAUAGAUAUUGGAAACAAAUAUACCGAUCUCUCGAAGUAACUACAGUGGCAUUUACAUUGACCUUUAAAUUAUAAUUCACAAAAAAGCAAGAACAGAAGAUGAUGAACAGUUUCCACAUCAGUAUUUGACUUGUGAGUUGCUGCCACCCUUAUGCGAAAUGUAUAUCAGAAGAUGAUGAAUUUCACGGUGUAUCGAGUCCCUCGUUCUGCAAUAUCGGCUCGAUUUCGUACACUACAUCAAUCAUUUUCGGCCGUGGCCAUGCGGAUUCUCUGACACAAUCCAUUGCUAAUUGCACAAAUUAACCUCUUGAAGCCCAUGAGGUUUGCUGUGUUCCUAAUGAUAGGAUCAAUCAUGUCCUCGAGACCGUAAUAAUCUUGAUCAUGCUUUUCUAUUGCCAGCCUCACUUCGUGAACAAUGCGCUCGCCAUUUUCUAUCGGAGGCUUUCCAGUUAUCAGCUCGAGCAUGACGGCACCAAAGCUGUAGUCUGUAGACAUCACUCUUCUCGGAGAACCGUCAUCCUGCAGUUGAUCAUGAUCAAAUUAUACAUUGUGACGCAGAAAUAAUGGUUGAGUUGAGAAGCAUCAUUUAAGUUGUCACGCAAGGUCCCGUUGGGAAUGAAUUCGUACACCAGCGUCUGCUCGCGUCGCGUCGAUGCAAAAGCCUGCGAGGCCUAUGAGAUUCUUGUGAUGAAACCCUGGACAACAACUCUCAUCUCAGUUUUUAAUUCAGAGUUUUCACCUUGUAUGGAUCCUUGCUUUGCUCGCUUUAUUGCGACCGUUUGGCCGGUGGAGAAAGAAGUUCUUCAAUGGAGACAGCGUCGGAUUUGCGGAUAUAUCAUUCGCUUGGAUGGUGUAUGUGAUUCCGAUUUAUGAGGAAAUCACAAAAGUAGGAAUUAUAACAGAGGAGAGAUUUCCAAUGUUAUUUGCAUGGAUGAAGAACUUCGCAAGUUCACCAGUUACUAGAGAUCAUUUGCCACCCAGAGACAAAUUACUCCUCAGGUAUCAGAAGAUCCGUUAAGCUCUUUUUGCAGAAGCACAAAUGAAUAUAAGGAGCCCUACAAUGAUUAUAGUCCAUUGAUUAUAUUGUUGUAAUAAAUGUAAUUUAUAGUUCUCUUAGAAUUGUUCUUUAUGAUUCAGAUGCAGCAUAUAUGCACAAAAAGCACUACCUAGAAAAGAGAAAUCCAUUAUUCUAAUUCUUAUGGAGAAAAAAAAUAUGCUUGCGAGUGAUUAGAGCGUGUUUCACAGUUUUAAUAUUGAUAGAUAGACUCAUUAAAACUAAUCACUAUUUACUGAUUCAAUUUGACCAGAUUCAAUAAGUUUGAUAUGCUCCUGUCAAAAAUAAAUAUGCUACGAAAUUACCAGUGACUAUCGCAAUUUCACUGUUUCUUCUUAACUUGCUUCUGUUUCUGCUUCAACACCAAUAACUGCAUCCGAAACCAAUCGUACCUAGCGUAAUUGGCUAAAAACUUGCUAGUAACCGAGGUCCCAAAUUCGAAGCCUAAUUGUAUUACACUUCUGGCUCAGUUCAUUUGUUAAAAAAAAAGACCGAAGCCAGUAACGUACGACCUUUCUCUUUUUUUGGAAAAAAAGGAAAAGAAAACAGCACCUGAGAAAACAACAAAUGGUUAAAUAGAGCGAAAGAUAAUAAAAACUCAGAAUUUUAUUAGUAGCCCAUCAAAAAGGAUGGAGCUCAGAAUAAUCUUCAACAAUGGUUGUUUACAAACAACCACGAUUUGAUUCAUGUGUCUCGAUUCCUAGCAAGCAAAUUUCUCUCUCUCAAAAAAAAAGAAAAGAAAAAAAAAAAUCAGCUAGGAAGACCAUCAACUUGUGCUCAACAACAGAUCCUUGUGGAAUAGCUACAGUGAUCAACAAAGGUUCAUGGUAUCAUACAAAAAUCACCAAACAAUGAGGUGAUAUGAUUAUUAGUAUAUGCAUAAUAAAUCGCUAAUCUGGUAAACAAACAGGUGUUCUUCUAGUAGAAGCUCAAAGCCUUCUUGGUCAGAUUAGUCGUCCCAGUGGAUACUGAAAUCUGUUUUUAAAUUUACUUUGUUUGUGUCUGUUCAUAAGAGUAGUCUUCGGAUGUCGCUGAAGUUUGCAUCCAGAGUAGAAAGGAAUUUACCUGUGUACAGAAAAUAAAUAUAAUAGAAUUACCUUCAAACACAAAGUAUAACCAAAAAAAAAAAAAAAUCAAAAUAGAAAAGGGAAGUUGCCUGCAAGCUGCCCGUCAAAAAUACGAUGAUCAGCAGAUAAUUUUAAGCCCAUUUUGGUGACAACUGCAGCCUUUUCUAUUCCUGUAAAAGAAAAAAGAAGAGUAAGCGCGACUGCAUAAUUUGUUAAACAUUAGUUGUCACGAGAGAGAUUAAUAAAACAUACCAUCACUGCCUAUAACAGGUUCGACAACUUUGUUGCCUCGACCUACAGCAAGAAUAGCAGCCUGGAAGAGAGGCAUGUAUAGCAGUUAUGGACAAUAAUUAUCACCCAUGCCAUUCCUUUCGAAAAAAGCAACUGAACUUGCCAAAGAAAAGUAAAACCAAAAGCUUCUCGGUCCCAAUUAGUCAGGAAUGAGCAUUAAUUCCUUUUAACCAUUUUGUAGAAUCUAUCUGAUCAAACUUAGUGAUCAACUUAUCUUUCAUCACUACUCUGUAAGACUCUUUGUUCCCUCUCACACCUAGUAAUACGAGUAAUGAGGGAAAAUGACAUGUUGGAAAAUCAACUGAUAGUACUCCGUAGUCCAUACUGUCCGAAAUGAUAAAGAAACCAACACCCAAACAUGUUACUCGACACCUAAAAGUGAACACCGCUAUACAGACACGGAUAAGUAGAUACUUGUGGGAACUUUGGGACAGUGGAUACAGAAUCUAGCGUGUCGACCUGAGGAAGAUGCCAAAUGAGGGCAUAGUUGUUUCCCUAAGACUUCAAAUAUUCAGAUUUCCCAAAUCCAAUCUAGCCAGGUGAUUGGCUGGAGUGCCAUAUUGAUAAGCUUACAGCGACAGGAGUGAAACUAGUAUAAUUAUCUAUACACUGAGAAAAAAGACUUGUAUGUUAUUUAAGUCAUCCCUAGGUAGAGUUCUAAAGCACCGCCAUCCCAAAUACUUGCAAAAUUAAGGUAGAGUUCUAAAGUCGCAGCAUCCCAAAUGCUUUUAAAAUUGUAGGAUGCUCUUCAGCAAAACAACGAUGAGCUUAUGUGGUGAUUCAUGUGCUCAUUCAUGCCUUUUUAAACUUUUUCUUUAUGCCUUUUAAAACGGCGAUCUUAUGUGGUCCAUUAACCCAGGCCCAAAGGCCUUUGAGAAGAAUAAAAGCAGGAAUGCUUUAUGCAUUUGUGCUCCAAAUCCGUCUCAUUUGCCUUGUUUCUGUUUGGCAGUGUACCUUCUGAGCAUCCCCCAAAACCCAACGUGGUAGCAGCUUAGCUUGAUUCUAUUUUUUGUUUUUUCCAGAAGUUUCACACGUAUUGGAUAUUUGGAUUUAAGUCCAAAGAUAAAAGUUGUGUGUGAAUAGUUUGAAAGUUAGAAUAAAGGAGAGAGUGGACCACAAACCUGCGGAGGGUUAAUAAUUGCACAGAAAUGGUCCACUGGAUACAUUCCCAGAUUUGAGAUGCUGCACAGAAUGAAUAAGAAAAUCAUGUACUUAGAAGCAUAAUUAAGAACAUACCAUAAAUAAUCUGUAGAUAAAUAUAGCAUGCUAACCUGAAAGUUCCACCUUGAAAUUGGUUAGGUGCAAGCUUCCCAGCUCGUGCCUUCUCGGCCAACUCUUUGACCUAUGAAUAUUUACGAAACCAACAAACAGUUUUUCACUUGCCAUUGACUAUAUUAAAGAUUCAUUUUCUCUUCUCAAACAGAUAUAUAACUUAUGAUUGUUACUUGAAGUUGAACAACCAAAACAAUACAAAAACAGCACUAGAUUCUGAUAACCUUCAAUAUAGAUUUACAUUUCAUGUUAGCUUCUGAAUAAGCAAAAACAGAGCUUUCAAAACAAGGAUUUCAAUGAAAAUGUAAAUUGAAGCAGCCAAAUGGUUUGAGCAUAAUAUAGAAGACAAAAAAUAUUCUCAAGAUAAGCACCGGUACUACCGUAAGGAAAAACUGUUUCUGGUGUUCCCACACUAACCCCACACUAGAAGAAAAGGAGAAACAAACCAACACCUUGUACCACCCAACCCUUCCAAUAACCAGGAAAAAAGAGAAACAAAAAAAAGGGGUUGAACUAGAGCCAGGAAUAUUCUCACCUCCGAGGAAAUUGCUGUCAAUGUCUUUUCAUCUGCAUUCCUUAUGAUUGGAGUCAUCAAGCCCUGUACCGUGACAGAACUGAUCAUAUUAGCAAAUUGACAUAUACUAGCAUAAUUCAGAUGAGAAUUGAAAAGCAUACCUUCUCAGUAGCAACAGCAAUUGAUAUAUCAACCGAACCGCAUAAUUCAGGUUCUUCUUUUUCUGUACUCCAGUAAGCUGCUCAUUCAUUAACAAUGAAAUAGAAAUUCUAGUUAGGACGAAGUUGCACCUUAGAAAACAAUGCAAUUUACAAUUGAAUGCAUGCAAUGUCUCUAACUAAUGCCUCAUAGCAGUAGCCACUUAGCUAACAAUCUAAUAGUAUAAUAUCAUAUAAAAUGUGAAGGUACGAUGAUAGAUCAGUUAAUUUAUUAACUUUGAAAAAAAAAACAUACUUAAAUACGCUAUCAUAAUUUCGUUAUUGGUGAAUUAUAUAAUCACCGAAAGGAGGAACUUAACUUUGGGGAUUUAGAUGAGGUCAAGUCAGGGAGCUAAUAUGCCAUCUCAUUCCUUGGGUGGCAAGUUUGACAAGCCAAAAUUUUACGACAUAAUGUAAAUUUUUCUCAAAUUAAAUCCAGCUUGGUCUUCAAGAGCCUUACCAUUUGCUUCAGGUACGUUCCUUAAUGCAAGUGCAACAGCUUUUAUGACAAUAUCGUUAACUGAAACUUUCACAUUAUGCUGCUCUGCAGGUCCAUUAAAGAUCACAAAACAAAAGCAACAAUUUAAUCAGCGAAUCAGUAUGCAGAGUAAGGAUCCAACAUACCGAACUACAUACCUUUAAGCUCAUUCCUGAAAGCAAUUAGAGGAUCCAACAUGACAUCUGAUGACAAACAACAAAUACUUCAACAAACUGUAAGAUGCUGAAACAGUAUGUAUAAUGAAUGAUGACAAACCUUUCGAUAGAUAUAAAUGCGGAGUACUUUGUUUUGAUUCCAUCAAUCGUUUUGCAAUGACCUGUCACUCAGAAAAAAAAAAUACUCCACACUAUUACUUUGGAGGAAACAACAGUCAACGUACCAGUGAGAAUAAACUAUUUUAAUCUCAUAUUCAGCAGUGACUGUAUUCUGGAAAUAUGUACUAAUACUCUUUGGACUUUCAAAAGGAAAUCAAAGCCUUUGUUUCUGGGACACGUGAUAGAACAAUGUGACAAGAACUGUAACAGAAAUUAAUAUUGUUUGAAUGGAGGGUCAAUUGUGAUACUAUGCAAAGCUAAGCAAGAAAUUUAAAAAAUUAAGAGCAAGGAUUUAAGUGCCAUCGGCAUGGGUGGUGCCCACCGUGCCGUACCAUGCCGAUAAGGUAUUGGCACGAUACGACCCCCAUACCGAUGCUCAAAGCCCUCUUUUUUCAAAUUUAGGGCGUAACUGGAUUAACAAAAUACAAAAGAUUUAAUAAAAAAUAUUUAAAAGUAAUUACAAUAUAUUGGUGCCAAAGAAAAUAUCUUUUUUAUUGGCAAAGUGCGUUAGCGCACAAGUAUUGUGUCAACGACACACAUCGGCACGGCAUGAUGCGCACCAUGCCAUAUUGUGCCAGCAAGUGCUCCACACAACCCCGUGCCUCGGCAUUCAAAUCCUUGAUUGAGAGUUUAUUGAGUUCUUUCUACAAAAGGAUGAACUUCCAAGGGGUAUCAGAAAUUUUAUUCCCUUUCUAUGAACAAAGGGCAUAUCCAACAGUAAGCUGAAGCUGACCAAAGACUGAUUGCACUGCAUCUAAAGUUCAGGUGCUCGCACAAACACAAGCAUGCACACACAUAUAUACGCAAAUUAUACAUGCAUAAAUCUACCAUCGGUUACUUAUGAAUCUGGUUGUAUUUAACUUGAAAUUUUUUAAGCAAAACAUAAAACUAUUGUAUGAUUUCCCUGACAAGAUUAUGGUCAAAGCACAAUAAGGGGUCAUGAUGAUGUCUCACUAAAACAGUGAUCCUGGUAAGCAAAAUCACUGAGCUUCUUUUUCCAACUCACAAAACUCGAAGACAUUUCAUCACCAUCAUGACAAACUAUUUUUUUUAUUUUUUUUUUUGUACACAGUAAUUGAGUCCCAUUGUCAUAAUCGUUAAAACUAAAACUGCCUGGAAAAAGUGAACCAAAUUGGGCUAACUCUUUCUAGCAAAAAUAACAAAUCAACACAGUUGAUUUCAAUCAGUUUAAAGACACUUUUAGCAGUCACUAAUUAUUAGUUUACUAACAGGCUUCUAGAAGUACCAAGACAUUAGGAAAAUAACUCAAAAUCAAGUAAUUGGAAACUUACAGCAAUUCGCCAUAAUAAUAUGCUUUGGAAUCACGAUGUGAUAUGAUUGGCAUUCAAAAUUUGCAUCCAACUACAUAACUACACAGUUCGCAACACAAUUGCAUGGUGGCAGCAUGAAUAACAAAUUAUGGUUCUGAAAUGAAAUUUUAAAACCACUAAAUUUUGUGUUCCAUUUAUGUUUAAACUAACAAUUAAAUGAAAAUAUACCUUGCGUAUUUGACUAUUGGGCAGAUCUUCAUAAGCAUCCUUGUCUUGCGAGGGAGCAACAGUGGGAGUUGGCACAUGACCAGUUACAUGAGAUGCAUGUGUUGAUGAAGCUUUGUCAUCCUGAGAUGGCUUAGAAGAUUGUAGAGACGAUCCUGCUGAUUUUAUUGCUGCGAGUACAUCCCCUUUCAAAAGUGUACCUCGAGGCCCUGAUGCUUUGAGCGAAGAUUCUUCUAGUCCAUAGUCUUUAAUAAGCAACUUUGCUGAUGGGCUGAUUCGGCUGAACUUCCCAUCUUGUGUUCCCCUUUUCUUUUCCAAAUUCUUUGAUGGUUCCUCAAUUGUUUUUUCCUGUUUGGGCUCGGCCCCUUUAGAUAUAUCACCUGGUAUCUUUGUAAUGUCAUCUGGAUCUUCAACCUUCCAUAUAAUAUAAUGACUUUGAGAUACAAGCUAUGUAGAAUGUAGAAAAUGUGUACUUCAAAAGUAAAAGAAAAACACUUCCAUCAGGUAAAGAACUAUACUGUUAUUGCAAUAGGUUGUCCUACAGGCACAUCCUUUGAACCUUCGGGUGUUAAUAUUUUAGCCAGAAACCUGUAGAAAUUCUACCCACAAUUUAGAAGGCAGGAACACAUAUUAAUGUGCUUAACUGAAACCAUUUUGAAGCAAACUCACAUAGCAAAAACCUAAAAUAUGUACUACAUGUCCCUAAAGGAAUUGAAUUCUUUAAUUAACAUGAUAACAACGUGCUAACAACAUACACCAAAUCAUAAAGGAUAGCCACAAACUAAGCAACUAUUUAGCUCGAUUGCAUAAUAGUAGAGAUUGUAGUUCUACUCAUAGCAAUACUUCUUAUUUGAGAUGUACCAGCAAGCAUAGUAAUAUUACCCUUCUUCAAGACUCUCGAAUUCCACAACUGCUUUGUCUGUCUCUAUUUCACAGAGUACAUCGCCCACAUCUAUCUACAAAUAGAAAUUAGUCAUAAGUGAGAGCUUCAGAGGUUGUGAAGGAAAAGCAAUUAUAUAGCCCGCAUAACAUAGAUCUCACCAUCUAUCACAGGAUAGAGAUCUUUUAGGCCCUUUACAUAUAGGCCACCCAAAAUUUUUGAUUUUACAUAAUGCACUAUGUUGUCCAAAAUACUAAAAAUGUCACAACAAUCUCUCAUAUUUGCAUUUAUAUUGUGCAUAUGUGCAAAAUCAAUAGUUCCAAACUGCCACAUAUAGAAUCCAAAGUUUUUAUGAUAGCAAACUAAUAUAUCUCACCUUAUCUCCCUCUUUCUUCCGCCACUUCGCAAUGUUGCCUUGGUUCUGGAUUAAAGAUCAUUGUCAGCUAUCAACAUACAUAAAAAUCAUCAAAUGAAGAUCUCGUAAAUAAAAAAGAAAAAGAAAACAAUUUUGAGGUUAUUCACCAUUGUAGGGGAUAGUGCUGGCAUUUCAAGCACCAAAUGAGAAGGAAGUCCUGCAUGCAUUAACAGCAACCAAAUGUAACAGUCUGACAUAAGCCUUAGAAAACUAGAAAAGUGAUUUAUUAUUGUGACAAGAAGUUCUGCUAGAUGUCAUUGAUUCAAUUCCACAUCCUGGUUAAGGACUCUUAACAAUAUAUGCAGCUUGAGAUUAAAAUCUUUCGAGCCCAGCCUAUUUAAAGGAAAAUUCUUUAGAAAAACCUUGAGUGAUCAACAAUAAGGGUGUAAAUUUGAUGAUGUAAAAACGUCAAAUGACUUCUUUUUCCAAUGAAGCGAAUAUCCUGCGAAUAGCUUAAAGGAAAGUGUUUAAGCAGCGGAAAUUGCAUGAAAAGUAGCUUACAUGAAAGAGUUGCUACUCUAAAUAGUUAUGCACUUGGUAGCUUAGAACAUUACUAGUUCCCCAUCAAUGGUCAAUAAUUGCUUAAAUUGGAUGGUAGACUUAGGAGUGUUGGAUCCAUUCUUUCCUUACGGAAAAUAAAUGAAGUACACUACCUGUAGAUGAGAACCACCGAACCCGAACGAGUAACUGCAUUAAAAAGACAAAUUAGUAUUGAUAUAACAAGAUAACAUGAACCAAUCUGUUGACUAACCUUGUCUGUUGAUGGGUAAUCUGAGAUGCUAUUAACUGACGACAACGAUAAAGGCCUGGAGGAGAAAAAAAUCACCAAGUAAUUUAGGCACCAAAUUACUGAAAAACAGGAUUUGAAAUCUAUCAAUACUCACAAUUUUCUUUUAAAAUGCCCCAACUCCCAUGCAAUAUUAAGUUAAGGAUCUUCGAUUUGUUGGAUGACAUGUAGUUUUUAGAGAAAUUGAGAAAUCAAUAGACAUAUACGACAAUCAGUGGUUCUUAAUGUACAUUAUUAAUCACAAAAAGUACUCUUGUUGACUUUCACUAUUAUUAAUCACAACAAACGGAGUUCAAGCAAGAUAUUACCGAUGCGAUUAUGCCAAAUCAAGUUCGAUGAAUGAAAUCUGAAGUUUAUAAUGCACUCAUGAUAUAGAGCGAUAAUAUGUUACAUAUGCAUACCUCAGAGUACUUUUGUGAAUAUCGACUAAACAAUUCCUCCGUGCACGGGCCAAGCUACAACAGGUAACAUAAAUGAGCAAGAAAACUUGUUAAAAUUUACUUAGGAUAUAAGUAAAUCCAAUUUAUAUCCCAAACAAGUGAUAAAUAAUAAAAUCUGACAUCAUGUGCACACAUUCUUGCAAUGCCAAAAGGAAAGAUAAUUAGAAAUGACAAACAUUUGCAAAACUAGAUUACCAAACUAAUACAUUUAACAGAUCUAAUCUAAACACAAAGUACUAAUUUUGAAAUCACAGCUGAAAAAUAGGAAAGGGAAUCAGUGACCCCUGGCACAAAGUUCUAGCUGAUAAAACAUAAGGCGUGAAAAGAAAAUUUCAAGAAUGGUCUACGACUUUAUUCAUAGAUAGUUGUAAUUACGGAAACUGCGAUUGAAUGUCGAUGGGAACAUCAGAAGAAUAAUACUAGCCAUCAAUCUCUGAUAUGAUUGUUCGAUGACAAAUGAAUGCUCAAAAUGCUAUCUCCAACACUUCUAGGUCACUUUUACCCAUGGGUCUCUCUGCACAGACGGUAUAUUCUUUUAUUGGUGUGGGCACUUUAAUCUAUCUGUUGCAUGCUCGUCAACAUUAUAAAAUACUGCUUCUAGCUAAUCCAAUAUUCUGUAGCAAGUUACUCUUAUGUAUCCCCUGAAGAAAGAUUCAGUAAAUUUCCUGAAAUUAAACGCAUUUCCCUCCAAGACUGUAUGUGUAAUGUUUAGAAUCUUUGGACUAAAUCACUUGAUUCAUAUCAAGGAUACAACUAGAUCAUCCUUCUAUAGUCCGAAUCUCUAGGAAACUCUCACUCUAAGAACUAAGUUCAAAAUUUCCCUUCAUGCCAGAGGCUUAACUAAUUUCCAGAAAUUUGCAUAUUUUCCACCAUUUGCUUCAUUUUAAAUUUCCUAGUUCAGUUGAUCCCACUGCAUUAACUGGUAAAGCAAAUUAACUCAAUUUACAAUCUUAAUUAGCAAUUACUUUGACAAAAGAAUCAUCGGUUCUAUACAUCUUCACAAAUUUACAUUUCCCUUGUAUUUUAAUUAGACAAAAAAACACCAAACUUCCUAAUAAAUAUUCAAAAUUCAACAACUUAUAUCCAUAAAGUAUGAAAUUUUACACUCAGAGCACAGUGAUGGAAAUAAAAACAUUUCAACAUCAAAUGCAGGGUUCUUCUUUUUUUUAAAAAAAAUAAUAAAUCAGAGGAAUAGUCAAAUAGUAGCUUUACUUACCCAACCAGAAGCGAUCGAACGUUCGCCAUAAACCCUCCUCACUCUCCACCGAUCUGUACAAAACGCCUCUCCAAUCCGAUCUAACCAAAACGAAGAAACAAAUAGAUUAAAACCUAAUGAUUCGAUCUAAGCACCGACGAACAGGAAGAGAAAUCGUUACAGAGAUCGAAUCGAAGGACAAAUUCGGGAAGCGUAAUACCAGGUAGAGGUGUUCGGCUCGAAGAGAUACUCAAAUGGCGGAUUCGAGCGAGGAGUCGUGCGGUGGCGUCGAUGGGAGAAGGGAGGAAGAGAAGCGAAGGUGGAGAGGGGUAGUUCGGGAAGAAGAAGAAGAAGAGAAAUGGUGCUUUCCUUUUGUGACCGGUCCGAGUGAACCGGUCAACGAACCGGCGGUUCGGUUGGACCAUAGUUUCACUCUGUGUUGGUACGUGGACGCGACCUACAUGGACCGAUCUUUUACAAAGCCCAACGGGAGCCCAAGUUUAUGUCAUUAUUUAGACUAUUGGAAAAUGCCUGUAUAUCCCUCCAAAAAAUCAUAUUUGUAUAUUUACCCCUAAAAAAUUUUGAGUGAUAAAAUCUAUCCCUCUAAAAUUUCAAUGAAUCGAGAAAAUGUACAAAAAUAUAACUCAUUUGAUCUUUCAUAUAUGCUCUCUAAAAAAAUUAAAAGCGAUAAAAUUUACAUCUCUAACGAUUUGAUUCCUUUUGACUUCAUCUUAUAUUUUAAUUUACAUCUCUAAAUUUACAUCCGUAAAUAAUUCGAGCCAUAUACACACUAACUUGACCUAAUAAAUGAAUCGGGCUAAUGAACCUAACGAGCUAGACUUUUCCAACUCAUUGUGAGCUCGAGCCAAACAUGAGCUAACUUCUAAAAAUUUGGACCUAAUCUUGAGUUGGUCCAGCUCGUUCGUGUUCGGUUUAUUGAAAGUCUCAAAAGACAAUAAUUUUUUCGCGAUAAUUAUUUUAGCUUGGGCUGGUAAUGGGCCUGGUUAGGUCCACAGCCCAUAUGCAAGGCCCAGAAUUUGAACUUCAUACAUUAUACACCCAAAUGAUAUUGAAUUGCAAAUUGGAUAGAUUUAGUUUACCGAUUUCGUACAAAAAAUUUAAGAAUUAAUUUUGCACUAAAAAAUUCACUUUCUAAAGGUCCAUAUGCGGAUCAUUGGAGAAAUGAUUUUUUUUUUUUUUGAAAAUGAAAAUCUCUCAAUAGUUAAUAUUAGAUCCAGAGGGCUUUUACAGUAGUGUUGUUUGAUUGGAAAAAGCAUUUAACAUCUUUAACCACAUUAUUACUUAGCUUUAUGUUGGAACAAAAAUUUUGAGAGAGAGAGAGAGAGAGAGAGAGAGAGAGAGAGAGAGAGAUUCUUUCUAGCCAAAUAAGCUAAAUUUCAAUUUUAGAAUUGUUAAUAUAUAGAAUCCAACUGCUAUCCUUUUAGGAGGAUAGGGACUUCGUCCUAUCAAAUCAUUUUUGAUGAUAGAGAUUUCAAAUCGAUGAUCGGAACUAUUAAAGUUAAUCUAGAGAAUUUGAAUUAUCUAGGAACUAAAUUUUAUAAAUUUUAAAAUUUAUUUACAUAGUGAUCAAAGAAUUGCAAACUUAACAGUUUUGACAGCCUAUAUGAGCCGUUUGCUUGUUUAACGAUGUAGAGUAAUUCAAACCGGUUGAAUUUUCGAUAGAAAAUUUUUUAUACUAUUUAGAUAAUGUUUAAUAACUCUGAUCGUAAAUUGAGAAAGUUUAACCUUCGUUUUCAGAAGGUCGAUCGUUCAUUUUUCGACUUUUCGAUGGAUUUGAUAAUGAUUUUUAAAAAUUAUAGAAUUCAGUUUCUAAAUAUUUCUAAUAAUAUAGAUCAAUUUCAACGGUGCCGAUUAUCAAUUUGAAGUCCUGAUCUUUCAAAAUGACUUAAUAGGACAAAAGCUUCUAUUCUCUUUAAGAGGAUAGUAGUUAUAUAGAGUUGAGCUAGAAUACUAUCAGUAGUAAACGAGCCGUUUUACUACCUAUUUAUUUUCGAUGAUAGAGCUUCCAAAUUGACAAUCGGCUCUGUUAAAUAUGAUUUAAACCAUUUAAACUACCUAGAAAUCAAAUUUCAAACACUUUCGAUAUUGUUCUUUUAUCCAUCAAGUGAAAUGAAUGGCUGAAAAUGAAUAUUCUUUUAAAAAUGAUGAUAGGAGUCUUAUAAUCAAGAUCAAGAGUAUAGAUCUUGUUUUAAAUAGUUUAAAGAAUUUUCUAACAAAAAUUCAAUUGAUUUGGAUAUCUUUACGCCGUUAAACGAGAAAAUGCCUCUUAUCGACUGUUAAAAUUACAAAUUUUGAAAUCCUUUGAUCAUUAGGCAAAUGAUGUCGAAAAGAUUUGAAAUUUGAUUUCUAAACACUUCAAGUGGUAUAGAUCAUGUUCAACGGAGCCGAUCGUCAAUUUGGAAGCUCUAUCAUCGAAAACAAAUAGGUAGUAAAACGGCUCAUUUACUUCUGAUAGUAUUCUAGCAAAACUCUUUAUAUAUAUAUAGAACUAGGCUACUAUGCUAUUAAUAGCACCAAGUCAUUGCACUACCAAGUUUUUGGCCAUUGGAUUAAGAGAUGUGCGGUUAGGAUGAUGUGGGCCCCCUAGGGUUGAGUGGGUGGUUAGUUGAAUAGUAUAAUCUAACGGGUGAAAAUGAUCAAAAGGGUAGAUCUAACGGCUGAAAAUUUGGUAGCACCAAGUGCUUCGUGCUAUUAAUAGCAUAGUAGUCAGACUCAUAUAUAUAUAUAUAUAUAUAUAUAUAUAUAUAUAUAUNGAUUUUUUAGCCGUUAGAUCUACACUUUAAUCAAUUCCACCCUUUAGAUUAUACAAUUCAACCAGCCACCCACUCAACCCUAGGGGAGCACCACUAAAUCCUAGGGAAUUACUAUCAUCCUAACCCUACAAUUUUUCAUCCAAGGAUUAAAAACUCUAUAGCAAAAAAACCAAAAUACUAUUAGUAAUAUUUCAGCCCAAUUUUAUAUAUUAUAUAUAUAUAUAUAUAGAGAGAGAGAGAGAGAGAGAGAGAGAGAGAGAGAGAGAGAGAGAGAGCAAGGCUGCUGUGUUCGUGCUCCUAAGCCGUUUUCGAUGAUCGAAUUUUCAAAUUGACGAUAUGCUCCGUUAGAUUUGAUCUAUUAUAUUUAAAGUAUUUAGAAAAUAAAUUUGUGAGUUUUUUAUGUCAUUUACCUAGUGAUCGAAUGAGUUCAAAAUCAAUAAUUUUAAUAAUUAGUGUCUAUUGUUUUCAAGUUUAAUGGUAUAAAAGUAUCCAAAUCAUAUGAAAUUUUGAUAGAAAAUUCUAUAUACUUUUUACAGCAAGAUCAAUAUAUCUGAUCGAAAAUUUUGGUGUCAAUCAUCAUGUUUUGUGAGAUUUUUAUUUUAAGCCGUUGAUUUUAAAACCUUUCGAUCGCUAGGUAAAUGAUAUAAAAAAAUUGUAAAAUUUAUUUUCUAGAUAUUUCAAAUAAAUCAAGUUUAACAGAGUCGAUCAUUGAUUCGAAAUUUCAUCAUAAAAAACGGCUUAGGAGCACGAAUGCCUCCGUGCUCCUAAGAGCAUAGCAACUCUGCUCUCUCUCUCUCUCUCUCUCUAUAUAUAUAUAUAUAUAUAUAGAAUUAGGCUAUAAUACUUCUAAAAGUAUCAAGUCAUUGGUGCAAUUAGAUUUUCAACUUUUAGAUGAAGGAAAGUGUGGUUAAGGGUUGAGUGAAUCAUUGGUUGAAUAGCAUAAUUUAAUGGAUGAAAAUAAUUAAAGGGAUAAAUUUAAUAUUAAAAUACUUAGUAGCAUCAAGUGUUUGGUGCUAUUAGAAGCAUCUGUGCCGAACUCUCUCUCUCACUCUCUCUUAUAUAUAGACUAUAGGCAUUAUUCUAAAGAUAGGUGGAAAAGAGAAACUGACAUUAAAUAAGGUGCUUAUCUAAAAAUGGAAAUAAAAUAUUUGAUUUAGUUGAAUAAAGGAUGACUAUGAUAUUUAACGUCGCCAUCUUAAUCCAAUCACAUGCUGCUACAUCAGCUUGUCAUUAAUUAAUAAAGGAGAGAGUCAAUGAGAUUAGGAUCUGGGCACAAAAAUUUUGGCUUUAAGAAUGAAAAAUGAAAAAGAAUAAUUAAAAAGCAUGAUUAUUAUAGAAUUAUAAGCCACUCUUCCACGCACCUAUCUAUUUUGUAAGCCCAUUCUCAUCUAUGAAUACUUCUUUGGGCCGGGGUAUAUAUAUUAAAUAUUAAUACAUAUACUAUGAUAUAUAAACAAGCACUUACCAACUAAUUCUCCAGGACUAAGAUAAAUAUAUACUACAAAAAUAGCUACUACAUUAAGUUAAUUGUUUAACUUUUCAUAAUAAUAACAAUAAUAAUAAAAUAGAGUGGUGCUACAUAUGUCGAUUUGAUGAGAUAGGGCUCGUAGUCUUGAGUUUUGACACUCAAAAUAUUUACAAAGCUGAAAGCAACCGGUAAGCAUUUUAUCAAUGUAUAAGUUAUGCCGUCAUCACGUGAUUAUCACUCAACAUGAAGUUCAAAAAUGAAAAUUUCAUGUUAUUUCAAUGUUACUUGCCGAACCUUGUUAACAUUGUCAAUAGAAACUUCAUAGAAAAUUAAGUUUUUUAAAAUUUGAUCGUAAAUUGCGAUUUGUCGAAAGUAAACAAUGCAUUAUGCAAUUUUCCCUUUCAUAUUCAAGAAUAUCUUCAUAAAAACUCCAUAAUAAAUAAAAACUUUAAUUGCCAUAAUUGACUAUGCUCAAAAUCCAAGCAUUACAUGAGACAUGAAUGGGCCAAAUUUCAUUGGUUGAGCCCAAAAUGAGAUCUAGUUGCAAUUGUGAUGCUCAGGUCAAGGUCAAUAUAAUCCCCAUACUAAAGCAAGUGUACUAAGUUACUAUUACUUAGAAACAUUACAUUAAUAUCCUAUUGUGUUCUAUAACUUAUAACAAAUGCAUGCAUUACUAUAUUACUAGGGAUAUUUGGGAGUGUUCACCAUUAUUGAUACCGUAAUUAGGAGGGUCAAAGCGUUGUUUGACCGAGUCUCGACCAAUCGGGUGUGGCCAACAUUACAAAUGAGAUUUCCGAGAACGACCGUUCGACCAAUAACAUCACGCCACGUGUGCAAAAAGUAAUUAGUAUUUUGAAGUCUCCAAGGCGUAUAAUUUCCACUUAACUUUACUGCUAAGCUAAAUUAACACCAUAAUCCCAAGGUAAGAACAUAGAAAUCUUAAGACUCACUUCACCAAAGACCAAAGUAACAUUAGAGUAAAAAGAUAGUGAGACAUGCUACAUAAUUUCGGGAGAGUACGUACUAUUUUGGAUAUCCUUACGAGCUCUUCGAAGAGUUGUUAAUAUGUUAGCAACUACGUGUAACACACAGCAAUUGAUCUGUAUUGUAUAUUUGAUGUUUCAGCGGUUACAGAAGGUCGGCAUGAGAAAUAAAAUAGAGAUAUGGUGAAUAAUAUGGAUAAGAAAUGUCUUCGGAGGCCCUAGCUGCUUCCACACUGUAAGCAUAGUUCAUUUUACUUAAUGAAUGAAACAGAUAGUUUGCUAUCUAUUUCUCAAAAAAAAUAUGGAUAAGAAAUGCUCUUUCCUAUAUAUCCUAAAUAACUAACUCCUAAAGAAUGACUUGUAAUAUAGGGUUUUCCGCAAGAAAAACACUUUUGGAGUUCACUCAUUGUAAAAUUUACUCCAAUUUCCCCAAAACUUGCUAAGCUUUAUGUGGAUGGAUGCAUUCAAUCUCUAGCUACCAAAAAAUUGAGAGUUAAUCAGGAUUCUAGAAACUUACUCAAUUUACUAUUUUGGUGUGAAUUUUUUAUGGUUAUAUAUUCAUGAGUUUUAAUGACUCAAAUGAGGGUGAAAUUUAAUUAACUCCUCUUUAACAAGAAAAAUGGUCCAAAUAAUGAAAUUUAGCUUAUAUUAGAUGAAUAACAUUUAAAACUAAAUAAAACAAUUAAAGCCACUAAAUAUUGAAUAGGAAAAAAAAAAACUUCGGCAAUAUUAGAGGAAUAACAUUUAAUGUUAAAUAUUAAAUAAAACAAUUAAAGCUAAAAAGGUGAAAGAUCCCAACAAUACAUGGUCCAAUCAUGAAAACUGUUGAUUGCAUAAAGUAUGAAAUGGACUAGAUGCAAAACAUCCAUGCUAUUGACAAUAUUAUAAUUAAUCACUGAUUAUAACCAUAUACAAAAGUCUAAGUAAAAUAUUUCACCACUCUUAAUUUCCAUUUUAGACCAGUUCAUGGACAUUUUGUUUUGUAUAAAAGUUAGUUACUGCACAGGUUAAUAAGAGCCUAAAAUUUAUUUAUUUAUUUCAGUAUCACAUGCAUUACUCUACAAUGAUAUAUAGAUCAUUUUAAGGAUUUAUAAUAUCAAGUUUUACUAAAAACUACACAGUUAAAUUCUCUGUAAAUUAAAGAAUUAAAUACUCUUUCCGAUUAAACAUAUAUAUAGAAUACUUCUUACUCUUAAUUUCCUAUAUAAAUAUACUUAUGGAAUACUCCUAGAAAAGUGGUAUGCUAUAUUAAAUAUUCUAAUUACAAUUUACCAGUAUGCUAAUAUGAAAGGUUUCAUAUGUAUAGUUAAUUAAUACUGCAAUUUGCGAGAAAUUAAUAUGGUAUUAUUCAUAACCAAAAUAAUAAUUAUAGUAACAAAUAAGAAAUUAAUAAAAAAGUUAUCACAUUAUAGUGUAAUUAUAUUAUUGUAGAAUUUUUAAAUAUUUAAAGCAUUUUUGAUACUCAUUGGCAUCUUGACAUCUUUAAGAUUAACAGUCCUACAUUGAAUAUAGGAAAAACAAAAUUAAAAAUUUCUACUCUAUUUGUUUGUCCAUAAUUGAUUUUUAAAUUGAAACUAAGUUGAAUGGAAGUUCUGAUAAAAAAAACUUUUUUUUAUUCUAUUGUUGUUUGUUUUAAUUUGGACUAUUGUUUGUUUUGGAGUAAAUCAAUGCCUUUCAAAUAGUAAUUAUCUUACUACGUUAUUUAGUUUACUAAAAAUUUAUAUUAAUACAAAAGAGGAUCAAAAUGUUACAGAAGAACCUAGCACGAAGUCAAUUGCUGUGUUUUGGAAAAAUAGAGUUAUGGAUGAAUUUAAUUUACGGUGCACUAACAACAAAGUGAGCAUUUACAGCCAAAAACAACUUUACCUCUCAAUUUCCACUUCCGGUGAAACAAGAAUGCCUAAAGUUGCUAACUAUAUCCAACGAAAAUGGUAAAGGAUCUUGAUGGUUGACAUCUGAUUCUUGAAUUCGAACACUACAAAAAAAUUAAUAUUUAAUAAUAUUUUUAGAUAUUUAAUGAUACUUAAAAUUAUUUCAAAAUAAUCUAUAGUCAUAUUUGUUGGUUGAGAAAUGAAGAGUCGCCGUAUAUAUGCCGACUCUUAUGUUAGGUAUCGGUUAAAUAUAUUCUAGCACUUUAAAGCGUCAGAAUUUUUUAAAAUCAGAACGUUUUAAAACGUCGAAAAAUUAAAAAUAAUAGUAAAAUUUAUUAUUCAAUAAAUUAGUUUGAUACAGUAGGAGGUCAUAUGAUCAAUGCUUUCGAAGCGUCUAUACUUGCUAUAUUACAGGGACACUCGGGAAUGCUUCUUUCGAGUGUCGUUUAAAUAGCGUUUAUUUGCAGGAAAAGUUUAAUUGUUUCAUAUUUUCAAUUAAAUUUAUUUUUUGAAAAAUGUAAACAAAACAAAAUAGCGUGCUAACAUUCUCUCUCUAAAAAAAAAAAAAAAAAGCAGCCCCAAGGUUUUUAAUCGAUUCAAGCCAUAAUAAACCAUUGUUUUUUUUAAAAGAUCAAUUAAUGUUUGUCAUAUUUUACACAAUUCAGCUCUCAAAAUUUAAUAAAGCUUUUACUUUCUCAUCGUAAAAACUAAAAUAAACUUUUGAACCCUAGGAGAGAAAGUUACAAUUUUUUUACUUUUAGUACUUCUUCAAAUAAUUUGUAUUUCAUUCGCAAAAUUAAGUGAGGCCAAACAGACACUGAGAUGCAUAUGUGGACGAAAUGCUGAGGAUAGGACCACACCACAGAUGCACGAUGAUGCUGAGCAAAACCAUGCAUGUGAACCACUCCCUUUAAAAAUGAGCCAAAAGCCAUUCGAUAAAUCCAUAUAUAAAUACAUAACCAUACACAAGAGAGAGAGAGAGAGAGAGAGAGAGAGAGGGUCUGUGAUGGCACUGCUCGAUGCGUCCUCGAAAAUCGUCGGGGCUCGGGACGAAGACCCGAAAACAAGACAGCGAGCUGGCAACCACCACUCACCUAUUUAAAGUUUCUAAAAAUAAGAUUAAUUUAAUACAUAUCCUUUCCAAUAUAAUAAAUAAUAAAUAUAUUUUUUAAAAAUUUAAUUUUUAUAUGUUGUUUCUAUAAAAGUUCUAAUAUUUUUAAAUAUAUUUCUUUCGUUAGAAUCUGUUAGAAAAAUUUAGUUAAUCAUAGGUUAAAUACUUAGUCAUGAUUAGUUUUUGAUAUUUUUAUGCUUAUGAUAUUAUACUGUUAUGACUUUUGAAAGAAUAUAUUUGUGAUGACAAAAUUGAAAAUAUAAACAGUUCUCUAAUGGUUCUCUAAUUAUGGUAACAAAUCAGAGGAACAUAUUUGAAAAUAUUAGGACCUUUGUAGAGACAAUAUAUAAAAGUUGAAUUUUGUAGGGAUAUAUAUUUGUCAUUCACUAUGUUUAUAAGGACCUGUAUGAAAUUAAUCCUUAAAAAUAAGAGCGUUAAUUGGUUUAAAGAAUCCGGCAUCUUACUCUAUGGCAGGACGAAAUGUCAGAAUGAAUCGUGUUGCAUUCAAAGUGACGUGGGGUUGAUUGGACCGAGUCACAACCAAAAUCCAUGAAUAUUGUGUCUGUAUACUUUAAGCGAAAUGAUUGUGUAUUCUUAACGACUCGAGUUUUUGGGAAUAAUGUUUAGCACUAACGAUCCGACAGAGUUCACUUAGAAUGCUUUUAGAAAUACAAAAAUUUCAGUCUUUAAAAAUUUUAUGAUUUUUUAAUAUUGUUUAUCUAGGGACCGGAAAAAAUAAAUUUUAUAAAAAAUAAUAAUAUAACAUUAAAAUUUUAGAUUAGAGUAACUAAUAUUAUUUUAAAGAGUAUACAAAAUUUUCUAUCAAAAACUUACAAAUUUGGAUGUUUAUAUACCGUUAAACUUACAAACGACUCACGUCAACUAUUAAAAUUAUUAACCUUGAACUAUUUCGGUUACUAUGUAAAAUAUAUAAAAACUUAUAAAAUUUAUUUUUUUUGAUAUUUUCAAAUUUCUAGAUCAAAUUUAAUUCGGCGGAUUGUAACUAUUAAAAGCAUCCCAACUGGACUGUAUAGCUUUUAAUUUUAGGGAUAAUUACCUAUAUACCCCUCAUGCGUUUGAAAAUAUCCCAUCUACGUACCCUUACUUCUUUUUUUUUUUUUUCUAAAAUACCCCUCAUAUGUUCCACCAUUAUUUCAAAAUACCUCCGCAGUUAUCCCCUGUUAGCUUAACUGGGGUUAAAUAUCGGUUAAAUGUAUACUAUAGUUAAAACCUAAACAAAGUACCAAUUUUGCCCUUACCUUAUUAUACUAAUAGUUAUCCUCUCUUUCUCUCCCAACUUGGUCGCCACCACCGGCGCCGGCUCCUCCUCCUCCAUCUCGCCUCAUCUCCUCCCAGACCACCACCACCUCCCACAUCUCCACCUCCAACACCACCCCUCUCGCCGCUCUCGUCGUCGUCCUCCUUCUCCUCCGCUCUCGUCGUCGUCGUUGUCCUCCUCCUCCGCCGCCUUGGCCGGCGCCGGGAGCAAGAGGGCCGCAACGACGAUCCUAUCUCGCCUGAGGCCGUUCGUGUGCCGUCCGCCCGAGGCCAUCCGCGUGUCGGGAGCAAGAGGGAGGUCCACGGUGCCGAGAGCAAGAGGGAGGCCCGAGGCCGUCCGCGUGCCGCAUGCCAUCCGUCAGCAUGCCAAGGCCCCCCGAGGCCGUCCGUGUGCGC